RNAcentral lists this ribosomal RNA (468 nucleotides) under Triticum aestivum (bread wheat). Its description in RNAcentral is "partial small subunit ribosomal RNA". Lineage: Eukaryota; Viridiplantae; Streptophyta; Magnoliopsida; Poales; Poaceae. The record is from RNAcentral.
UCUAAACAUACACAUUUUUGCUUUCUAGAUGGUUAUUCUGGUUUCUCUCAAAUACAUGUGUCAGCCAAAGAUCAAUCAAAGACUACUUUUACAUGCCCUUUUGGUACUUUUGCUUAUAGACGUAUGCCUUUUGGUUUAUGUAAUGCACCUGCUACCUUUCAAAGAUGCAUGAUGGCUAUAUUCUCUGACUUUUGUGAAAAGAUUUGUGAGGUUUUCAUGGACGACUUUUCCGUCUAUGGAUCUUGUUUUGAUGAUUGCUUGAGCAACCUUGAUCGAGUUUUGCAGAGAUGUGAAGAAACUAAUCUUGUCUUGAAUUGGGAAAAGUGCCACUUUAUGGUUAAUGAAGGUAUUGUCUUGGGGCAUAAAGUUUCUGAAAGAGGUAUUGAAGUUGAUAAAGCCAAGGUUGAUGCUAUUGAAAAGAUGCCAUGUCCCAAGGACAUCAAAGGUAUAAGAAGUUUCCUUGGUCAU